RNAcentral lists this long non-coding RNA (1458 nucleotides) under Nothobranchius furzeri (turquoise killifish). Its description in RNAcentral is "lncRNA (ENSNFUG00015020087.1)". The record is from RNAcentral. Lineage: Eukaryota; Metazoa; Chordata; Actinopteri; Cyprinodontiformes; Nothobranchiidae.
AUGUGCAGCCAUGUAGGAUUAAACGCGUCUUUAAACACAUCUAUAUCAGUUCCCAGGGUAGCUCAAAGAGAAGUGGAACAGAGCCGUGAGGAAGAGGGUCAAACAAACAGCGUAGACACUGACGAGCUAGAAACUAUGCUGCCAAAAACAGUGAAGAUUGAAGUAAAAGUCGAGGAGGCUUCAGAAAGCUGCAACAACACAGAGGAGCGCCCAAAUACGGAACACAAAACGACGUUGCAGCAUUGUAUUCAGCAGAAAAAUGAGAGAAAACGACCAAACGCCACGCCUGAAAAAUGUCCAAAUGAGCAUCUGGGACCAGAAAAGACCCCUAAAAGACCUCGACUCAUCUCCAGUGAUGACUCCACACCUAAAACACCCGCAGCGGUCCCAAAAAGUGCACCAAAGAAGGAAACCAGCAGGAUUUCUACAACAAUUAUCAAGUUGUGCUGCGUUGAGCGGGAUACAAUUGUUUUCUGUGGGAGCUGCUCUCUGAAGGUGGAAGGCGUCGGCCAUUUUACCGAGAUCAAACACCCAAAGAUGGAUCCAGUGGUCGUUAAUCUCAAGGAAAACAUGUACAAUGACAUUUCCAAUCAAAGCUUUCAGUCAGUCAUCCAAACGCUGCAGAUUCAGAUGUUACUGCCUUGGUCAGACGGCGGCUGUAGCCUUUGUUCUGCCUCACCUCCGUCUGCUGGUGGCGCCAUUACCUCGACACGUCACUGUGAAGACGAUAGGAAGGUGGUGGAUAUGGAGCUGUGCAACGAUUUAGAAGGUGAUGCCACAAUGCCAGACUCGUCUGCAAGGACUGAAACUUUGUGCAAAGCAUCUCAAGACCAAGAGUUCAAGCACCACAACCCUCGGGCUGGUUUAGUGCAACCUCAUCGGCACACUAUCUCAACAACCACAACCAGUUUGCCUCCUAAAGGCUCUGAAAUCGUUUCUCCAGACACGACCGUUGCGUCACUGAAAUUUCCUAGAAUAAAAGAAGAGGCACCCACUCCCUCUGUAGACGUGUGUAAAUCUGCACCUAAAGCGCCUAAACCCUCCUCCACCUGUGCUGCUACCGUCUCGGAUGCAUCACCCCAGUCUGCCUCCAUGACAAAUAAAAGUGCAUCCAAGGUGAAAUCGGCCUCUGGCGCUGCUGCUGCAAAUGUUGGCAGCAGAAAUGGUCCCAGAAGUGCGGAAGCAUCUAAAGGUUCAGCUGCAGCUUCCGUGCCUGCUGCUAACGUGGCUAAACCUGUUGAUGACUACCCCUCUGCUAAGACUUCUCAUGUGAACAAAUCAGAGGGAGAACAUGCAAAUGCGUACAAGAGGAACUCGCCUACGGCUCUUAGCCCAAAGGCCACCUUGCUUUCCAGCUCGGAACACAAGAAUCGACACAAAGACCCCCCACACGUGUCUGCAACCAGCAAGACACCAGCCGGAAACCUCGCUAAAGUUGGCACGUUCACUUUGAUUUAG